AAUCAACGCUGGCGGCGUGCCUAACACAUGCAAGUCGAACGAGAAAGCGGGGGCAACUCCGUGAGUAAAGUGGCAGACGGGUGAGUAACACGUGAACAAUCUGCCCUUGAGUGGGGAAUAACACCGCGAAAGCGGUGCUAAUACCGCAUAACAUCCCAGUGACGCAUGUCGCGGGGAUCAAAGGCGAAAGUCGCUCGAGGAGGAGUUCGCGCCUGAUUAGCUAGUUGGUGAGGUAACGGCCCACCAAGGCAACGAUCAGUAGCCGGCCUGAGAGGGCGAACGGCCACACUGGAACUGAGACACGGUCCAGACUCCUACGGGAGGCAG
This 327-nucleotide ribosomal RNA is filed under the name uncultured Acidobacteriota bacterium. Its description in RNAcentral is "bacterial SSU rRNA". It matches the Rfam family "Bacterial small subunit ribosomal RNA", at positions 32 to 351 of the family's 1533-position model. The record is from RNAcentral. Lineage: Bacteria; Pseudomonadati; Acidobacteriota.